GAUGAACGCUGGCGGCGUGCUUAACACAUGCAAGUCGAACGAUGAAGCCCAGCUUGCUGGGUGGAUUAGUGGCGAACGGGUGAGUAACACGUGAGUAACCUGCCCUUGACUCUGGGAUAAGCCUGGGAAACUGGGUCUAAUACUGGAUAUGACUUCUCAUCGCAUGGUGGGGGGUGGAAAGAUUUAUUGGUCUUGGAUGGACUCGCGGCCUAUCAGCUUGUUGGUGAGGUAAUGGCUCACCAAGGCGACGACGGGUAGCCGGCCUGAGAGGGUGACCGGCCACACUGGGACUGAGACACGGCCCAGACUCCUACGGGAGGCAGCAGUGGGGAAUAUUGCACAAUGGGCGCAAGCCUGAUGCAGCGACGCCGCGUGAGGGAUGACGGCCUUCGGGUUGUAAACCUCUUUCAGUAGGGAAGGAGCGAGAGUGACGGUACCUGCAGAAGAAGCGCCGGCUAACUGCGUG
RNAcentral lists this ribosomal RNA (466 nucleotides) under uncultured bacterium. RNAcentral describes it as "partial 16S ribosomal RNA". It matches the Rfam family "Bacterial small subunit ribosomal RNA", at positions 28 to 507 of the family's 1533-position model. The record is from RNAcentral.